Molecule: long non-coding RNA, 30983 nt
Filed under: Sorghum bicolor (sorghum)
Lineage: Eukaryota; Viridiplantae; Streptophyta; Magnoliopsida; Poales; Poaceae
Description: long non-coding RNA (SBIC_LNC003130)
Source: RNAcentral
UCAACUUGUAUAUGGAAAAACUUGUCACUUGCCUGUGGAAGUAGAGUUUAAGGCUCAUUGGGCACUCAAGAAAUGGAACAUGGAUCUCCACCUCGCUAGUGAGAAUCGUCUGAUGCAACUAUCUGAGCUAGAAGAAUGGAGAGAGAAAGCCUACCACAAUUCAAGGAUCUAUAAAGAGAGAACAAAACGAUGGCAUGAUAAGAGAAUCAAGCACAAGGAGUUUAAGCCUGGAGAUAAGGUUAUACUAUUCAAUUCAAGAGUUAAGCUCUUUGGGCAUGGUAAGCUACGAAGUAAGUGGGAUGGACCAUACAAGGUUAUUGACACUUCAACUCAUGGAGCCAUUACCAUCCAAGAUGACAUAGGUAACACUUUUAAGGUAAAUGGUCAACGCUUGAAAAUCUAUCUUGAGCCACAAAGCAACCUGGUAGAGGAACUUGAUGCGAUUGAGUUCAUAGAAUUCUCAUACUAAGCUCUCAUAAGCUCUAGACAAUUACCUAACCCUUAAUAUGCUCCACGAGUUUUGUUGUCUAUUUGGGUUGUGCAGGAUUUUGAGGCUUAAGAAGAGUGACACCGAACAUGCAGGCCACAAGAGUAAACGACUAUGUCAACAUCCAGCUUGGGGGAGGCACCCCCACGUGUAUCUAGAUAAGUAUUACUUUUCUUUCUUGGUUUUAUUUACUAGUAUUCAGAAAUAAAAAAAAAUGCAUAACCAUGAAACCAAAAAAAGUUUUUCUUUUGAGUAAUAUACAAUAGUUUUGUGUAAUCCUAAGUUUUAAAUAAAAAUAAAAAAAGUUUGAUUUAAGUCUAGGUAAUUGACAAACAUGAUAUGAGAAGGUCUGAGCUACUAUUUAACUUGUUCCAUGUUUUGCUAGAGUUCUGGAGAUUUUAUCUUUUAAAAAUCUAAAAAAUAUAAUAAUAAAAAAAAAUGAGAUCAUAAUACCUAGAGUCUUAUAAGAUAUAAAUAUUAAAACUGUGGGCACUUGCUUUGUUCAAGCCAUUGUUAAUUCUUGUAGUUUUGGUUGAGAGAAUUAUCAUGCUCCCAAGAUCAAGAUCUUUUUGUUUUAACAAUAUAAAAGAUUCACUCUUCUGAAGUAUUAUUGCGUUAGAGGCAUGGGACUAUGCAAAACUUUGAUUCGAAAAAAAGAGAAGUGAGACGAGAGGUAAAAAUGGACAAGUGUCCGAAGUAGAAUUAGGGGUACAAAGAUACCCACCUGAGUGAAAAAAGAGGACAUGUGUCCGACAGUAGAAUUAGGGGUACUCGCUGCCCACUUGAAAAAAAAGAGACUGAAAAAAAAGAAAGAAAAAAAAGAAAAGAAAAAAAAAAUGAUAGCCCAUGGUCCCUCUAAUAAGCAAUAUGCCAGUAAGAGAUGACAAACUUUUCAAAAAGGUCAAAGGUCUUGAUCUAGGAGUAUGACAUUCCUCUCCCUUACUCCGAGCGUUGACAUAGCAAAAUGCAAAGUAAGUAUGCUAAAACUUUUAAAGCUCUACUUAUAUAUCCUUCGAGAAAAAGGCAAAAGCCUCAGUUUUAUUUUGGGAACUUACAAAAAUACUCCAGAACAAAGGUAAGACAGAAGAACUUGAGACAUAGUGCUUGACUUGAUCGUUCUGUUUUUCAAUCACUUAAGACCUUAAAAACCCUGUAGUAAGAGGCAUAAAAGUAACCCCUGUUUUCUUGCUGAUUUUAGCUUUGCUCAGGGACGAGCAAAGGUUAAGCUUGGGGGAGCUUGUUGAUGGUCCUUAAUGCUCACAUUUAACCAUCAACUAAUCAUGGAAAAGGAUCCAAAUGCAACCAACACCUAGACUUAGGGUUUUAUCUGAUAGAAUUCCACGAGUUUUGGUGUUUGUCUAUUUCUACAGGGGGUUAUCAGGAAAUAUGAAAGAAAGGCCCACACGUCGGGUUUACAUAGAGAUAUUAACGUGCCGCGCAAUUUUCUACCAACUAGAAGAGUCCAGAAGCCACGGGAACGAACGGGAAGGAAAUCGGGCUCGGAGGCAGGGCGCCCGCCCAACUCUCCUGGGCGCCCGCCCAGCUACAGUGCCCAAUCAGGACACGUUUCGCGGAUUAUGCUCCACCGACCUAAAGGAUCAAGGAAAACCGUGCGAUCAAUGUCGGUUUGAUCCGACGGCCCAGAUUCACUUGAAGGGACUAUAAAACCAGACCCCCUUGGCCCCUGGAGAUCAUACCUCUUCUACAGAAUCAAAGCUAGGGUUUCAAUUCUUCAUCCAAGUAGAGAGGAUCCCUCUAGUUCUUCUAGUUCUACCUCUAGUUCAUCUAGAUCUAGUUCUAGUUCAUCUAGUUCUAGUUCUUCUAGUUCUAGUUCUAGUUAGUUCUAGUUGUAAUCUAGAAAAUAGGGAGAGAGAAGAGGAGAGCGGAGGAGGAGCCGGAUCUGUCGGAUCUUCCUCAACAUUGUAAUUUUGCAGCAUCUGGUUCAUUCUUCAUCGUUCUCCAGGUUCUUCAAUUCAUAAUCCUGAGUUCUUUAAUUACUUUUAUUUACAUUCAAGUUAUUUAUUGGAUUCCCGCUUGCAUCAAGUGCUCUAAUAUUUGCAACAUUAGAGUAGUAAUUAAUAGAUUAGACGUGGUGUUUAGUCUUGCAAUUACCUGGAAUUGCACCCAAUCCUGCGGAUUGUUGUGGUAGCCUUAGGGUAGUGACAGCCCUAACGGUCGACGUAUUCCACCUCGUUCGGAUCGGUGUUUGUAGGACAGUAGUCAGACCUUCCUAGCCCCCUUCUCAUCUCUCUCCGUGGUUAGUGCUCUGAUGUCCCGAUAUAGAUAAUCUUGAAGUAAUUCUUGAUUCUUAGAUCAACUAGAGAACUCUCAGGAAACUUCCUCUCUUCCCACCAAAAAUAAUCAUAUAGUUAUCCUUGGGCGAUCUUGGAUCUUAAUUAGUACACUCACGUUCCCUGUGGAAAAUCGAUACUCUGGAAUACUCCCGGGUGAAGGCUACAUCGGUAUCCGUGCGCUUGCGGAUUUUUCUGUUUGCGUUUAAAAUACCCAACAGAUGUGCGGCAGCUCAGUGCGCUGCUUCGAGAAGCGUCGAGCAUACUCUCGAAGAGUUUCUCCUGACUUCUGCUUGCACUUGCUGAGGUCCCACAAGUUGUCGGGCCGUAUAUAGGUCCCUUUGAAGUUACCCUCGAAUACCCUGACCAAAUCGACCCAGUCGUGGAUCUGGUUGGCUGGGAGCUCCUCGAGCCAUCUACGGGCGGUGUCGGAGAGGAUGAGUGGUAGCUGUCGGAUGAUGGCUCGAUCGUCCCCUCGAGCGCCUCCCAGCUGACAGGCUAGCUUGAAGUCCGCCAACCACAGUUCUGGCUUAGUUUCACCGUUGUAUUUAGCAACGCUAGUGGGGGGUCGAAACGGGCUAGGCAGUGGCGUGCUGCGGAUUGCUCUGCUGAACACCCGAGGGCCCGGUGGUUCCGAGGCCAUCCGGUCCUCGUCGCUGUCGUAUCUCCCACCAUGGUGGGCGCUGUAACCGCGCUCUUGUGCAUCCCCAUACCGACGGUGACGAUUUUCGUCGAUGUCGCGUCGUGCGUCGUGUCGUCUUUGGUUGUCGGCGGGAUGGUGGAGGACGAGCACUGUCUUUUUCCCUCGAGGGGGUGGCUGCUGAUGGACUGACACCUCUUUUUCGUUCUGGGCUGGCUCAUCACACUUUUCUGUAGCUGCCCCUCAACGUCGGGAGGCCAAGCUUUCUGCUUGCUGAACUGCCGCCACCUGGAGCAGAGUCUGCACCUUGUCUUGGAUGCGCCGUGCUUGGGAGUUUGAGGGAUCGGGCAUGUUACGCAACAACAUUGUUGCCGCCACAACGUUCUGGCCUACUCGAGGGAAGCCGCUGACAGGUUGUUCUAGCUCCCCGUCCCCGACGAUCUAUCGAUGUACCUCUCGAGCCCUUCUGUGGACACUUCCGCCUGGUGGGUAUGGCAGAUUCUGCUCAAGGAUUUGCUCAAGCAGGACGAGGCGCUCACAAAAUUCAUCAAGUUCUGUCUUGAGCUCUCGUAGCUGCACAAGUUGCGCGGCUCUGUCUUCUUGUGGAGGUGGGUUGACCUGUCCGUCAUUCCCAGGCGUCCUGGGGUCUUCCCUCGCUGCAGGGGCUCGACCGCCAGCAACGGCGUCUUGCGUCUCGUCAGUAGUUUCUACCGCCCCGUUGAUAUGGAAGCACUCCCUAGUAGGGUCGCAGCUGUCGGACUCAGAGCCGGAGUCCGGCUCGGCGGCUUAGAAGCAUCCACGUCCUUCCUCCAGCAGCCGCUGCCUGAGGGAGGUAAUCGUGUACCGCCCAGGGCCUAGGCAGCGGAGGCCUCGUACCUGCGAGAAGUCUGGCAGCUCGGAUGUCUGUGGCCGUGCUCCAUUGUCGCAUGGGAGGACCAUUGGUCUUUCCACGUACGUCUGGGUGUUUGGACAUAUCGUCCUGGCGAGCGAUGCUGCGGCGUUGUCCAGCCCGAACGGCAGCGCUCUUCUUGUGGCGAACAACCCGUGUGGAAGCAGCGUCGUGGCGGGCGAGAGUGCGCAAGGCACGCUAUCUCCCGUCGUCGUUGCGUGGUCUUUGUGGUGUCGGGCCGUCGAGCCCGCAGUUUCAGCGCGUAGGGAUGUCGGCUCAUGGAUCACCUCCCGCCUGGCGCGUACUGGCGAUCGUGAUGAGGCAGAGGGGUGAUGGUGGUGUUAUCCACGCCUCUUCUUGGGUGGGGAGGCGUGGUGGUGAGGACGUCUCGGAGCCUUCAAUCGUGCCGGCGUAACGCGAGCUCCUCCCGGUUCUUUGACCGAGAGUAAGAUCAUGUCAUAGCCCAAGCCGGUAGACAUGAACUCGAGGCUCCCAAACCAAAUCACUGUGGAGCGCGGAAUCGGUGAAACGAGAGUGGCCAUAUGGAAAGGAACGGGAAAUCGGUGAAAAACACGCAGGACCCCUACCUGGCGCGCCAACUGUCGGCGUUUUCCCCCUGGGGGGUCACACCAACGAGUAAAACUUGUAUGCGUGCUCCCUUUUCCGGAUGGUGAUGCAAAAAGACACAAAGAUUUAUCCUGGUACGUCCAGCGGGGGGGGGGGAGUUUGUAUUAUUCUACACCUAAGUGCCUGUACAGGGGUGAAUACAAACGUGGUAUGGAUGGAGAUGGAGUGAGUUGGCUCUGCUACGUAUGGCUUGUGUGUUGUGUUGUAUCGCGUUGUCCUCUAUCCGCUCCCGGGUCUCCCCUUUUAUAGUUCCAAGGAGAGACCUAGGGUACAUGUAUAGAUGUCAGAGUAGGGGUCGAUAGAGGUAUGGCGCACUAACCUACUCGAGGCCUCCGUACCAGCGUGGUCUCGAGCCGUCUUGUCUUGGUAGCUUGAUGAUGAUUACGCGUGCCCCUGUAUCCCGCUCUGUGCGUCGUCCUAGACUGGUUUAUUUGUUGCACGCUUGUACGUCACGACAGCACCUGCGUCAGACUGGUUGAAGUGCUAUCACUCGUCACCCGACCCUUCCCCAGGAAGGAAACGUGCCUACUUGAGGGUCGGAUGCCGUGUAACGCCUCGCUAGCCAGAGCGCUGAGUUUGGGCGUCUCGAUGGGGGUCUUGAUUAGACGUUCCGACCCAGUUUCUGCGUCCUGCCAUGUUCUGGCUCGUUUGGUGGUGAAGGCUACAAAAAGAAUGACAUGACGGGUGCCUGUUCCCUAUCACGCUUCCCGUGACUAGCGGGUUAGGUGGGAACGCGGCAGGCACAUUAAAUGCCCUGGUUCUCGUGCCCGCAUCAGGCGGCGGGCGGUGUCCUUGCGCUCGACGCCUUCUGAUUCGCUCGAGCCUGUUUCCGUAUUCGACGGUAGCCGGCGCUCGAGCCCUGAUCGAUUCGCAGGACGCUCUUUCUGUGUUCGAGACUAUGGCCAUCGAGGACCGUGCGUCUAACUGGGUAGGGCGUCGAGUUGGAGGCCUCGACUUUCGUACGGAUAUUCUCGUCAUGUACAUCAGUUAGGGUACCCCUUACUGAUAUCUUGACAGUCCUUACUACGAGGACGAAGCUCAAGUCAAGUGCUCAAUAUCCAGAAGCGAUGGCGAUUCGAAUCGAUUUCUGACUAGCUGGCGAGUUAUUCCCCACACAAACCACACUCACUGAUCAAGUGAGCUACAUAUCACCAUAUUACACUAUCCACGACCAAUUCGCGGGUUCGGCAGGCACCGCUAGUACUUGAGGACUGUUCCGGUAACCGAGGUAUCCAAGGUAUACCAAGGUUGCGCGCCGUGCCCUCGUCGUUCUCCUCAACCAUCUCCAAUAGAGCGCAUGGUGGCUCAACUCCCGGCCCGGAUAGUGUUCAGGCUUCGCGGUCGGAACGACUUGUCCUUCCAGCUAAGUGUGGGGCACGCGUUCAACAUGACAAGAGGGCCGUCAACGAUCGGUCCUUAAUCGACACAGACAGGGGCACUACGGUCAACACCACCAUAAGACCCUGCCCGGUCUCAAGUUCCUUCCCGCACUUGGUUACUUUUUCUCCAAUGCAUUGACCGCUAACAUUCAGGUAUCCACCUAUAUCUCGUAGGUGAUAGGAAAUCACCCGACUUCUACCGUACUAAGCAAGCUAAGCAAAAACUCCGAGCCUAUCUACAUAGGACAAGGUAGAUAAACAUGUGGUGAUAUCAAGGAGUAAAUGUGCAUCAACGGUGUCAAGCAACUCCUAUCACUUAAAUGCAGCAUAGUAAAACAAUUAUGAUAAAACAAUUAAGUUAGCUAGAAUAGGGAGACUUAGAAUGCUCCGAGGCUUGCCUCUCUCGAAGGUUCUAGGCCUGUGGUCCGGGCACUCCUGCAGAUCUCCUUCCGGCUCUGUUCCUUCUAGAAGUUCCUGCUCCUGUGUCUGCUCCUGCUCCUCAGGUCCCACCUCCUUCUCCUGCGAGCCUGUAUGAUGCAUGUGUGCUCCUGAGUGGGGUGCAAGAUGCCUGAGGUGCAAUGCUUAUGCAAGUCAAUACAAGAUGAUCAUAUCAUGGUGCAUAGAUGAGUAUGUACAAAGCCCAUCUCCAGUGGAGAUGAGUUCCAACGGAUAAAACAGGAAUCUGAUUUCUACAUGGUAGUCAACAUCAUCCAAGGAGAUAUAACCAAAUUAAAGCAUCUAUUGCAUUCUCUUCUACAAGUCAUUAUUAACCAGCAAGCUAUCAUGGUGCUUCAAAGAUACACCAAACACAAUUUAUUCUAUUCAUCUCAUGCAUAACAAGGUUUUAUGUAUUUAAUUAUUAUUAGGCCUACAAUAGUAGCAUAUAUUUCUGAUCUUCAAUAAAUUCUACAAAAAAUACAGUAGGUCACUGGUUAUUUAUCAAGUCUACCACAAAAUUUUCAUAAUAUUUGGACAGGUAAUCUUACCCACACAAAAAAAUCAUAAGUUUAACCUCAUAAUUAAGUGUAAAUACCCUACUGGUGACAAAGUGUCAAACCACAGAUUUCAUAUUUUUAUAAAUUACUUACUAUCACAAGAAAUGUCCACAAAAAUUUGUAGCAUAAUUACAUGAUCCAAUUAUUUAUUAAAAAUCAUAAACCAUUGCCAUGCAAGCAUUUAAAUCAUCAUAAAUUAAUUUAUACAGCAAUUAUUGUGUCACAUAUUUUUCCCAGAGACUAAACAUCCAUGCAAAGCUAACAAAACAAGAAUUGUAUUUUUUCUGAGUUAUAUUCUAUUUACUAUGCAUUUUCUCACUAACAUCAAACACAUGGAAUAAAUAAAUUUACACAGAAAAGUUGUACAAACAUGACAUGCAAUUUCACCAAGUUGUAGAUCUAGAUUUAUAGAACACAUCACAUUUUAUUUCAUCAUUUUUGGAGCCAUAAAUUUCAAGAUAUGAAUUUAAUACGAUUUAAAAUAUUUUUGAGAAAUCAUUUUGUGAAAUUCCGUUUCAAUCCACCCUGGACCCGGCUAGGUGCACCCGGUGCAGUGCAUCCGCUCUCAGCGCAAGCGACCGACACGUGGGCCACAGGUCCCACGUGUCAGCCACAGCAAAAGGGGGAGAGAACUCCGGCGAGCCGGAGCUCAUCGCCGGUGACCCCUUUCAGCGAACCAAGUACUCCUACAUGUUCUAUGGCUCAAGCGAACCAGAUGACCCCCUAUGCGCGACCUAGGACGGACCAAAGCGAGCUCGCCGCCGGCCAUGGCGGAACAGUGGCGCUACUCACCGUCGACCCGAGGCGCUGGCCCGGUAGAGCGCGAUUGGAGAGGUUCGGGAGCUUCGCGGUGCAGAGGCGAGCAUGAUGCGCUAGCUAGGCGGUGUAGAAAGGCACGGUGGCGCGCGGGCCACACGUGCGGCGGUGGCGCUGUCGCCGGAGAAGAAAGCGUGGGCGAGCGGGGGCUCACCGUGCGUUACCAAGCGGUCGGAGGUGUGUCCCGCAACGGCAAAGCGUGGGCGGAGCUCGAGGAGGGAGGAAUCGACGAAUGGCUCGCGCGUUGAGGAGGAACGGCCAGAGCGGAGCUCGGAGCUCCAAUGGCGACGGCGGUGCUCUGCGCACGCGCGGAGCGGGGGCGAGAGGGCGAGAGAGGGAGAGUGGACGAGCGCGAAUGGCAGCGGAGGGGGAGGCGAGUGCGACCGGGGGCUCCUAGUGGCCGUCCAGGGCGCGUCCACCUUGGCGCAUGUUGACACUAGCUAACACCACUUGAAUACUAGGUUGUCAUCCCCAGCAUGGUGUCAGAGUGUACAAAGGUAUUUAUAAAUAUGGAGGCUCUCUAGAAAAUAAUCUAUUCUAUCUGCAAGCGCACAGAUAAAACACCUCAUUAUAUUAUUUCACCGGGUAAGUAUUCCAGGUAUCGUUAUUUAUAAUUUUGCUUAGGAAAACAAAAGGUUAAAUGAAGAUAAGGAUAAACCUAUCAAGGCAUAGACUAGAGAUAAACUUGCAAGAACAUGAUUAAUAAUGAGAAACUCGUCACACAGUCACUUACUUUGGCAGGGGGUAAACCAUAAAGAUAAUGAUAAUGAAUUAUAAGUUCAUGGGUGAAUAACACAGCGAUUAGAAAAUAGACUACUCCUCAUAUAUGUAAGGUGAUGUCGGAUUAGCUAGAGAAUGGAUUCUAAGUUAUCUACUAUCUGCUAAGUCACAAUCUACUCUAGUUAUCUACAAGAUCAUGUAUAGCAUAAAAGACUCUUCAUUCAUGUAUAAGGAAUAUUGCUAAAGUAAAUUAGAGCAUCACAAGACUUACUCCGCAAUACAAAUUCUGCCUGUCCUAUCAACGGAGGGUGGACUAUAUAAGAAUCAAUAAAGCUGUCACUAUUGCGAACUACCACACAACCCGGCCAAUAGGAUACAUUUGUAGGUAAAUAAUAUUUAAGCACCACGCCCACAUAUGAUCUACCACUUAACUCCAGCGCGUCAAGAGCUAAGCGCUUUGCAAGCUUAUACAUAAACUCAUUAUCAAUCAUAACUAUAUCAAAUAUAGAACUAGAGCAAACUAAGAACAUAAUAAAUAGAGACAUAAUGCAAUUAGAACAAAGUAUUAGAGAAACAUAUGAAUAAUACCAAUCUUUAUUACCGAAGAUCCGAAUCCAGAGCAAAGGCUCUACUUCUCUAAUUACUAUCUAAUCAAUCCUCUAAACUUGAAGGAUUAGGGAGUAGCUAAUUCUAAUUCUCCGUGGGAGAGAAGUUCUAAACCCUAAAUUUGAUGGCUUCUUGUGAUAAUGAUUUCUCCUCUCUCCCCCUGAGGUGGAGAGGACUUGAUUAUGUAGUCCUUUCAAGUGAAUUUGGGCCAUCGGAUCAAACCGACAUUGAUCGCACGGUUUUCAAUGAGCGUAAUCCGCAAGAGGAGUCCUUUUUGGACUCCAACUCAGGGAGGGCGCCCAAGGGGGGAGGGCGGGCGCCCUGCCCCCGAGCCCGAUCGUCUUCCCGUUCGUUCCCGUGGCUUCUGGACUCUUCUAGAUUGAGGAAAAUUGCGCUGCAUGUAAUUAUCCCGUUGUAAACAUGACAUGUGGGCCUUCUCUCCAUAUUUUCUGAUAACCCCCUACAAAAAUAGAUAAACACCAAAGCUCGUGGAAUUCUGUCAGAUAAAACCCUAAUUCUACAUGUUUGGUGCAUAUUGAUCCUUUUCCAUGUUUAGUUGAUGGUUAAAUUUAGUACUUAAGGACCGUCAACAAACUCCCCCAAGCUUACCCUUUGCUCGUCCCUGAGCAAACAGCUAAACUCAGACGGAUCAGGAGUUGCUUCAAUGUUUUCUUUCCUGACAGGCACACAUGCUUUUAUAUAAAAAUUCUUCCAGAUUAGAGUGAAGUGUCAUGGAGCUUAGUACCUGCACUUAAGUCUUAAGUAAUUGAAAGACAAAAUAAUUAAGUCAAGCACUAUUCCUCCUGUCUAUACUUCACCUUUGUUCUAGAGUUUUGCAUAAGUUAAAAAUAAAACUCAGAGUUCCCAGCAAUGAUCUCUCAAGUCUCUCUAUAUGUGGUAUUUGUGGAUCCUUACCAAAAUGUCACUUACCUAUAGCUAAUGGAAUAUUUAAGUGGAGUUCAUAGGAGUGAAAAACAGCUCAUACAUAUGUUGUCUAAUCGAGCCAUGGAUCCAAAGGAACUCAGCAUAUAAUUAAAUCAAGAUGUCCAUGUGUGGUGGAGUAAAUGAUAGUGAUGGUAAAAAUGUAUAAGUGAUAAUAAAACUUACUUCUCAUUGCUCCUCAUAUUGUUAUCUCUCCUCUUCUUUGAUCUUUGCUUUGGGAGAACAUGGGUUAUCUCUUUUUUUUCAGGUGGGUAGUAGAUACCCCUAAUUCUACUAUCGGACACUUGUCCAUUUUUUCCGCUCAAGUGGGCAUCUUUGUAACCCUAAUUCUACUUCGGACACUUGUCCAUUUUUACCUCUCGUCUCACUCUUUCUCUUUCUUUUUCGAGGUUCCGGGCACUUGCCCCUUUUUAUUUCCUCGCAUAUUUUUGCAUAACCCAUGCCUCUUCUGCAUUGAAUCUUUUUGGAGAGAGAGAAUAACAACACUUGGGAUAGUGAGUGAUAAUAUUUUUAGCAAUUUUAAUGAGUGGUGGUGGAGGGUGUAGUAGAUGUGUGCAAGUGAAUAUCUUAAUUUAACCACAUGAAAAGCUCCUAAGGGUUUACACAUCUCGAUCAAACUCAAUGUGAAUAUAGUAAAAGAUGUUAUAGCAAGUAUGGCUGUGGUAGGUAGUUUGUAAUGCUAGGAACUCAUCAUGUGAUUUAUAAGUUUUCAAAAUAAAUCUCCAGAACUUAGGGUAGUAGGAACAAGAUAAACAGUAGCUUAACUUUAUAUCAUGCCUUUCUCUUACCUAGACUUUAGUUUUAUGCUUCCCAUAGAUAGUAAUUUCAGUUUUAGUAAUUUCUGAAAGAACUCUAAUAUAAAGCUAGGUACUUGAAAGUAAGCAAACAGAGCAAUUGUUCACCAUUUCCAUCAUGCAUCUUUUUGGACUCUUUAUUUUUUUCUAGAGAUUAAUACUUAGUAGAUAAAUAAAGCACACUUAUGUACACACUCUUUUUAUUUUCUUUUCAUGUUUGUAGAAUGCAGUGAUUUAAAGCAAGAAAAUAUUUAUUGGGUUUUCUAAGUUUUUCUCUAUAAGCUAAAUACUAAAAUAGAAAAGAAUAAAUAAGAAGAGCAAAUAAAAACUUACUUGAUAAAACGGGGAGAAACUCCCCCAAGCUGGAUGUUGCUGUCGGUCUUACUCAAUAUUCCAGAAUCGCAUCAUGAUGGUGAUGUUGUCGUUCAUUGUCGUGGUGUCUUGUCUCAGUUCUUGUACUGUAGUGGCGUGGUCCUAGUUCCAUUUUUGUUGCUGUUCCAGGAGUCGUCCAUGUUCUGCUUCCGUAUUCUGGAUGUCGAGGAGAGUGUUGUCGGUACGGGUGAAGACAGCACCGACCUCUUGGUAGUAGUCGUUCGUGAAAGCAUAAGAGGCGUCGGAGUAUCGUCCUGCAUCGAAUUGGGGCGGAGGUCUGGAUCUUGAAGCUCUAUAUGGAUCAGUGGAGUACCUGCCCGUUUGGAAAGGCGGGUUUGUCCACUGGUGAUCUUGGCUCUCUGGCCAUGUCUCCUAUGUUGGCUCUUGUGGUUGCGCAUGUCGAACCUAUGGGUCUCGAAGGACUCAGGGGUUGUAGUCGCAAUAAUGCAGGUGCGUUGCUUCUUCUGGCCCAGGAUCAGCUCCAUACUAGGUGCGUUCUUGAUGGGUGGUCAUCCUUUUAGAUGUCACUCGUUGUGGAGCUCUCUGGUUUACUAGUGUUACUGCAAUCUCAAUCAAAAAAUUUUGAACAACAUAGAGGCCAAGGUUCGGGUUAGGUAACCGAAUCUUGCCUUUAUUGUCAUAUAGCAUAUACAUUAUGUUCCCCUCUUUCUUCAACAUCCGAGCUUGUCUAAAUGUGUCGUAGCCAAGAUAAAUCUGUAACUCAUCUAUGAAUUCCAAUGAUGAAUUUUCUAGUAAAUGAAGACUAGAGGCUAGAUGAGUGAUAAGUGAAGUACAUCCUACUGGUCCCUAAAGACUAGGUAUACUAAGCCAAUGAGAAACCAAAAGUGUAACAGGUGAAGUGGGUACUUUAUUAAUAGCAGCAUAUAGAAGUUGCAAAUCUCCUACUCUUAAUUUUCUAAUAUCAUCACGGUAGAAAAGAUUGUACCCAAGCCAUUUGUGGAACAUCCUAAGAGUGGGGUGUUCCAUGUCACUGGUUCGGGCUUGACUAUAAAAAUUAUCUCUAGAUAUCUCUCUCCAGAACUGGUGUCUCUCAAAGUUAGGUAGGUCAGAGUCAAUGUUCAGGAUGCAUCUUGAAGAGAAACCAAGAUGGUCGCUCAGUUCUCUCCAAGACAACAUAAUCUCUUGUUUGAACAUCCAAAAAACAAUUCCCCCCUCAUAAUAUUGUAAAGUGCAAAGAAAUUCAAGGGUGAGAAGACGAGAACCCAGCUCAGUUAUGUUCCAAAAUUUUGUCCAACCGAACAUCUGGAAAAUUAAAUCGAAUUCAGUAUCCAUACCUGUUUCUUGUAGCAAGAUUGGAUCAAGAGUAGGGGUGUGAAUGAAAUCUUUGUUCUUUAACUGCUGGUAAACUUCCGUUUCCCUUCGGGUCUUCAGUCCAAGGUCUCCUAUCUUAAGGAGGACCUUGACUUGCUGAUCAGAUGAAGAUGACGGAGCUUAUGUGGGCGUCGGGUGUUGACGGUCCUUAAGUACCAAAUAUAAUCAUCAAAUAAAUAAAGAAAAGGAUCCAAAUGUAACCAACACCUAGAAUUAGGGUUUUAUCUGACAGAAUUCCACGAGUUUUGGUGUUUGUCUAUUUUUGCAUGGGGUUAUCAGGAAAUACGGAAGAAAGGCCCACAUGUCGGGAUUACAUAAAGAUAUCAACGCACCGCGCAAUUUUCUACCAUCUAGAAGACUCCAGAAUCCAUGGGAAGAAAGCAGAGGCCGAAAGGGGCCAGGCCCAGGGCGCCCGCCCUCCUUCCCUGGGCGCUCGCCCUGACUUGGACUCCGUUCGGGACUCUCUUCGCACACGAUGUUCCACCGAAUUAAAGGAUCAAGGAUAACGUAGUACCACAUCGCCUACCGACCCAAAAACGCAUAGAUGAGGAGGACUAUAUAAGGAGACCCCCCUAGCCCCUGGAGAAGACAAGAAGUUAUCAUAGAGAUUGAGGGGUGCCCUCGAAGGAAAACCUCUUCUCUAAAUAAUAUUUCUUUUUCGGCUUAGCAACCAAUGUAAGUAGAAAUAGAUCUUCUAGUUUCUACUAGAUUGAGAGAGAUAGAGUGAAGGUGUAGAUCAGAGGAAGGCCGGCCUGUCGGUGUCUACUCUGAGUUGUACCUGCGGGAUCAAGUCUUCUAACCCGAGGCUUGCUCCUAAGAUUCUUCAGUAAUUCGACUUCUAAUUCUAGUAAGUUCUUGUUUUAUUGUUCUUUGGUUUAUGAGUUUACUUUAAUCCUCUUCCGGUUGAGUAUUAGAGUAAUCAUUGCUAGCGUAAACGUGGUGUUUAGGCUAGGGUACUCAUAGAUAUCCCCUGACUAGCUGGACCGUGGUAGUAGCGAGGAACGUGACAUUUCCAAGUUACCUUUGCAGACCAUACCUCGUUAGCAGGACGGGUAGGUUUAUAGGUGCGGGUCGAACAUCCUUUGCGGUGUCUAGAUUCCGUAAGCUUCCCCAAUAGAAUAGUAGAUCAUCCUUACCAAGGUUAGAACGAGACUACGGUUGCAGUCUUCUCUAUACAUCGCUCACAUCGAGAAACAUUCUUUGUAGCCUAAAGGGAUAGUAGCAAUAGAUUUGGUUAGUCAGAUGCACCCUUUCUCCCAGUGGUAAAAAUAUAAAUAUGAUAACUCUGGAUAACCUCCCGGGUGAAAUGCUCACUGAUAUCCGUGCGCUUGCGGAUCAUUUCCUUAUUGCGUUACCAAAUAUCAACAUCGGGUCGACGCUCAUCUCUGAUGGGUGCGAGGAGUGUCGGGAUGAACUCCUUGUACAUAUGUUCUUUAGGGCCUUCCCUGCGUUCUUCACCUUCUUAAACAUCCUGUAACCAAAAGUUGGCAAAAACACAACUAGUGGAAAAUUUGAGAGAAAAUGUUAGUGGUCAGCUGUCCGGAAUGUCACUAGUCUAGGGGUUAGUCGUUCAAGACAAGUUUUUAUUUUGGCAGAACCUCCCCCUAAACAAAUUUUACUUCCGCUUAGGACAGCGGGAUCACUACUUUCUAGGUGAACCUUACUCUCUUACUCAAAGACUACCAACCUUUCUUCCACUCUUCUUUUCCUCUCUACUCUCUUUCUUACUUCACUACAAGAGCUCCUUCUGUAGAAACUGAAACUUGCGCGGUUUUCUGGAAUGCUGGUGUGAAGAAGAUGGAGGCAGGAGGUGGCAAUUUAUAGGAGGAAGGAAGGGCAGGGCGGGCACCCUCUAUAGGUGGGCAGGCACCCACUUGUGGUGCCCAUCCUGUCUGCCCUUUCUCCACUCCCUCCUUUGCUUAACUCUUACGCAAAAUAAUAGAUCAUGGGUGGUGGUUGGUCGGUGGAAAAGUGCUGGUGAGUGGAGUUAUGUUGGUGUAUCAAAUAAUGUGAUGGGAUGUGUGUGAGGUGUGGUGUAUGACAUGUGGGACCCAAGGAGUGUGGGUCAUGCUUCUAGAAGGUUGCUAAAAUUAAAUAUAAUGCAGAAAAAUCUAUGAGAAUUAAAACUUAUUGAAAUGAUACUGGAAAAUAUUUUUGUGCCUCCAUAAUAAUUAAUAAAUAUGGGUUGUUACACACCAUAAAUAUUAUUUAUAUGGGGCUUUUCAUUAUUAUAAUAAUGCUAUAAAUAAAUAUGACUAACGCAAGAAUUAAAUAUGAGAGAUUUAAUAAUGCGGAUAAAUACCGAUUUACCUCCCGGUGAGGGUUUGGGAUUUUUAGGUCCCCCAAGCUGGACCUCCAAAUCUUUUAAUCUUCUGAAUUACCUUCCUCCAGAGAUGGUGUCUCCAGUGGUUCUUCUUCAUGAACUUCCUUCACUGUAGAGUCUCUCUCUAGUCUGGGCUUGAAUGUGAAGUGUUCUUGUCCGUUUAUGUUGAAUUUGAUUUCUCCUUUCCCAACAUCAAUGUGGGCAUUGGCGGUGCUCAGAAAUGGCCUUCCAAGGAUGAUGAAUACUUUUGAGUCAGGACUCAUGUCCAAUACCAAGAAGUCUACUGGCACAAGGAAAUCUCUUAUCCUGACUGGAAUGUUUUCAGCGAUGCCCAAUGGGUGUCGAACUGAUUGAUCCGCUAGUUGCAGGCACAUUGAUGUUGGUUCUAGGGUCGUAUGCUCAAGCUUCUCGUAGAUUGAUGCUGACAUCACACUGACACUUGCUCUGAGAUCACAAAGUUCAUUGUUGAAGUGUUGGUUUCCGAUCGAGCAAUCAAUAGUGGGGCAUCCUGGAUCCUUCUUCUUUCUUGGUGGUUUAUUGAGGAUGGCCGCACUACAUUUUUCUGUCAGCUUGAUAACCUCAGUGGUGAGUAGUGGUCUCUUCUUGUUAAGAAUAUCUCCGAUGUACUUUGCAUAUGUAGUUACCUGUAUGGCAUCAAGCAGAGGUAUGUUGACAUAUAAUUUCGGAAUGACCUCUACAAACUUACCAAACUGCUCAUCCGACUGCAGUCCUCUGUUUCUUCUAGGAAAUGGCAAAUAGUUGGUGUCGUAAAAAUCUUUCCUCAUUUCUCCAGUUCUUGGUGGUUGUAGCAGAUCUUCUGCUUCAACUGGGCUUUCUUCUUCUAUCACUGCUGGUUGCACUGGUGCUGAUGUUCUUUGUUUCUCUUUUGGGUAUGGGGGAUCCCUGGUGGCUUUGCCUCCUCUAGUAGUUAUGUUCUUUACCUGCUCAAUGUUAGUAGCAACAGGCAGUGCAGCAGCUAGCUUUAUUAAUUUAAGCUCUACUCUUUUAUUAAGAGUGUUUUGCUCAUCGAAGGUAGUUAAUAGUAAAUCCAUUUUAUUGUGUAUAUCUUUUAGAGAUGAUUCAUUUGUAUCUAGCCUUUGUUUAACUUCAUCAUUAGUUUUGGUGUAUUGAGCAAUUAUCUAUUUUAAUGAAAGUUGCUUGAAAGUAUUACCUGAAUUCAUACCUUUGCUGUUGGGUUGACUCGAAGUGGUUUGAUAUUUGUGUGCUGUCUCAAUAGCCCUUUGAUCUUCUUUGAACUUGGCCCUCUGGUCAAUCCAAUGGAGCAAAUUUUCCAUCUUAGUUGAUAAUGCUUUUACUUCUUCUGGUAUUUCUUCAGUUUGAUGAAAUUGUUGAGCUUCAUCUUGGAACCAGCUAUGGUUUUCUGCUAUCUUAUCCAAAAGUAUCUCUGCUUUUCCAAUUGUAAGCUCCAAGAAUGAUCCUUUAGCACAUGCAUCUAGGCACUCACGAGCCUUCUGGGUUAAUCCAUGGUAGAAGGUCUGCAUAAGUAACCAUGUGGCCAUUCCAUGGUGAGGACAAUUGUUGAUAUUUGGGAACGCAAUAAGGAAUUGAUCUGCAAGCGCACGGAUAUCGGUGAGCACUUCACCCGGGAAAUUAUCCAGAGUAUCGUAUUUAUUUUUUUACCACUAGGAGAAAGAGUGCAUCUGACUAACCGGUCUAUUACUACUAACCCUUUAGGCACAAAGAAUGACUUUCGAUGUGAGUGAUAAAUAGAGAAGGAAGACUGCAACCGUAGUCUCCUUCUAACCUUGGUAAGGAUGAUCUACUGUUCUAAUGGGGAGGCUAACAGAAUCUAGACACCACAAAGGAUGUUCAACCCGCACCUAUAAACCCUAUCCUUCCUGCUAACGAGAUAUGGUCUGCAAAGGUAACUCGGAAUUGUCACGUUCCUCACUACUACCACGGUCCAGCUAGUCAGGGAAUAUUUAUGAUUACCCCAGCCUAAACACCACGUUUACGCCAGCAAUGAUUACUCUAAACUCUACGCGAAGAGAUUAAAGUAAACUCAUAAACCAUAAGAACAAUAAAACAAGAACUUAAUAGAAUUUAGAAGUCGAAAUACUCAAGAAUCCUAGGAGUAAGCUUCGGGUUAGGAGAACUUGAUCCCGCAGGUACAAGCUUGGAGAAGACACCGACAGGUCGGGCUUCCUCCAAUCAACACCUCCACUCUAUCUCUCUCAAUCUAGUAGAAACUAGAAGAUCUAUUUCUACUUUACAUUGGUUGCUAAGCCUAAAAAGAAAUUUUAAUUAGAGAAGAGGUUUUCCUUCGAGGGCACCACUCAAUCUCUAUGAUAAUUUCUUCAUGUCUUCUCCAGGGGCCAGGGGGUCUCCUUAUAUAGUUCUCCUCCUUUAUGCGUUUUUGGGUCGGUAGGCGAGGUGGUACUAUGUUUUUCUUGAUCCAAUAGGUCGGUGGAAUAUCCCGUGCGAAGAGAGUCCUGAUUGACAUCCAGCAGGGGGCGGGCGCCCAGGUCUCCAGGGCGGGCGCCCUGGGCCUGGCCCCUUUCGGCCUCCGUCUUCUUCCCGUGGCUUCUGGAGUCUUCUUGAUGGUAGAAAAUCGCGCGGUGCGUUGAUAUCUCUAUGUAAUCCCGAUAUGUGGGCCUUUCUUCCUUAUUUCCUGAUAACCCCCUGUAGAAAUAGAUAGACAACAAAACUCGUGGAAUUCUGUCAGAUCAAACCCUAAUUCUAGGUGUUGGUUGCAUAUUGGUCCUUUCUCUUGUUUAUUUGAUAAUUAAAAUUGAUACUUAAGAACCGUCAACAAAUACCCCCAUACUUAGGCUUUUACUCGUCCUCGAGAAAAGGAUGGUUAAGAACAAUAUCUGGGGUAAACCAUUUUAAAAGCAUUCUCUUUAUAAUUGCAGGGUUUUUUCAAAAAAAAAAAUCCAUUGUGUACCAUAGUCAGGGAUGUUUAUGGUUAAGAGUAAAGAUCCUUUCUUCUCAAUCCUAUCACUUGGAGUUUUUGUAUAUUUUUGAAAGAAAAUUAGCAUACCUUUUUAUCCUCAUAGGUUCUUCUCAGAUCACUCAUUAUCUUUUAUAUCUCACUGAGGUUGUUUUAUUUUGCUAAAAUUCUCAAGAAUACUUACUUUACAUUUAUUGCCUGAUCAGAACGGGAUCCGAGGAGGGAAAUGUCAUACUCUUAGAUCAAAGACUUUGGAAAUUAAAAUCUUUGUCAACUCUUGCUGGCAUAUUGCUUAUUAGAGGGACCAUGGGCUAUCAUUUUCUCUUUUUCUUCUUCUCUCUCUUUUUUUUAAGUGGAUACCGAAGUACCCCUAAUUCUACUGCUGGACACUUGUCCAUUUUUACGCGAGGUUGUCGAGCACUUGCUCCUUUUUAUUUCCUCGAAAUAUCUCUAUUUUUGCAUAGCCCAUGCCUCUAAUGCAAUAAUACUUCGGAAGAGUGAAUCUUUCUGGAUAAAUGUCUUGAUCUUAGGAGCAUGAUAAAUCUUUCAACAAGGGUCUAACUCAUUUUGAACAAACUCAAUACAGAGCAGAUAGCUUUUAUAAUUAAUAUUCAAUAUUUUCAGUUCUAUCAGGCAUAUAAAACACUGAGGAUGGUAGCUAGAAUUUUGAAUAUUUUGAAAUAAAUUCUCCAAGCAACAAUGAUAUCAAGAAUAAGAAACUCAUACUCUACCAUCACAUAUUCCACAAUGACUUAAGUAACACAGGGUUUUAAAAUGAUUUUAUAAUAAUUGCAAGGCUCAGGAAAUAUAACAGAGUGAGAUUAAUCAUGAUUAGAAAUAUUUUAAUCUUUUUAAUUUAUCAUGCCGGAAACAGUAAUCUGCAUAAUCAAGAUAGUUGUAUGUGUAAAGUAAAGUGUGCAGAGUGUGUACCUGAAUCGUGGAGUGGUGUGGUCGGGGUGUGUUUAGCAUGUCGAGGGAUCUCCCCCAUACUUGUUUUCUGCUUUCUUGCACAAAAAUAAAGUAGAGACACACAAGACAUAAUAAUAAUAAUACUCUUUAUUAAUCUUGAGGCAUUUAUUACAAAAGACUAGUAGCAAACUGAUAAUAGCAAACUGAUGAUAAUAGCAAACCUAAACCGAAUUUACAGAUAGAUGACAAAAAUGCAUUGCCUCAAGGUCUNNNNNNNNNNNNNNNNNNNNNNNNNNNNNNNNNNNNNNNNNNNNNNNNNNNNNNNNNNNNNNNNNNNNNNNNNNNNNNNNNNNNNNNNNNNNNNNNNNNNNNNNNNNNNNNNNNNNNNNNNNNNNNNNNNNNNNNNNNNNNNNNNNNNNNNNNNNNNNNNNNNNNNNNNNNNNNNNNNNNNNNNNNNNNNNNNNNNNNNNCGGUGAGAACUGGUUGAACAUGGUAAGAUUGGGCGGAGCUGCGUUGGCGCAAUGGCAUGGCUUCUAGCUGUCGCUCUGUGUUGGCCGGGACGAGUGCACGGGCAUCGGGGUCUUCUACAGGCUCCAUGUUGAGGUUGAAGGGGACGACUUCCCAAUCAUCGUGGUACUUCUCGGCCAUUGGAGCAUCAAGGAACUAAUCAAGCUCUAAUUGAAGGAGAGAAGGCUUGGUGGCUUGGUGUUUGAAAACUGAGGUCAGGGGUCUGUUUAUAUAGAGGUCAAAAAGUGCCUCUAUGGGUUGUUCGGGUUUCUCCCGUCGAUGUGCGUGCGAAACUUUCCAUCCGAGGGAUUAUUCGGAUUACCAUAAGUGCAUUUUCCAUAACAGAGAAAAUCGGGACCGAGGGGGAACCGGAGCUGGGCGCCCGCCCUCUCUCUGGCCCCUCUGUGGGCCCACUUUCUCGAGCGCGUUUCUAGAUACGAAAUUAUUUAGAAAAAUAUAUAUAUGACCCAAAAACAUCAGACUAAAAAGGUCGGGCUCUAAUUCUCCAUGGGAAGGUAAAAAUGGACUACAUCUAUUUCUUCAAAUUCUUCAUUGGGCUCUAAGACGUUGACCAUUUACCUUGAAUAUCGUACCUUCGCUAUUUUGAAGUGUGAUAGCUCCGUGGGAUGAUGAAUUAAUUACCUUGAAUGGUCCUUCCCAUUUGCUUCGGAGUUUUCCAUGCCCGAAAAGCUUCACCCUGGAAUUAAAAAGUAAUACCUUAUCUCCGGGUGUGAACUCCUUCUUCUUGAUUCUCUUGUCAUGCCACCUUUUGACUCUUUCUUUGUAGAUCUUUGAGUUGUGAUAUGCUUUCUCUCGCCAUUCUUCCAAUUCUGAAAGUUGCAUUCUUCUAUAAUCUCCAGCAACAUCUAGGUCCAUAUUCCAUCUCUUUAUGGCCUAGUGUGCUUUGAACUCUAGUUCAACGAUGGCAAGUCUUCCCGUACACCAAUUGGUAUGGAGACAUUCCGAUUGGGGUCGUGUAUGCUGUCCGGUAUGCCCAGAGUGCAUUGGGUAACUUGUCUUUCCACGCUGUUCCCAUUUCAUUUACUGUCUUCUGAAGAAUAUUCUUGAUUUGUUUGUUGGAAGUCUCUCCUUGGCCACUUGUCUGAGGAUGAUAGGGGGUAGCAACGUUGUGACGGAUUCCAUGUUUUGCUAGAUAUUGCUUGAAGCGUUUGUCAAUGAAGUGUGCUCCUCCAUCACUUAUCACUACUCUGGGGACUCCAAAUCUUGGAAAUAUAAUUUCUUCAAACAUCCUCUCUGAACUGACGUUGUCGGCAUGCUUGCAAGGUAAUGCUUCUACCCACUUGGAGACAUAGUCAACCGCCACCAAGAUAUACUCGCACUUCUUUGAUGGAGGAAAUGGACCCAUGUAGUCUAUUCCCUAGACAUCAAAGAGCUCCAUCUGAAGGUUGUUGGUGAGUGGCAUUGCAUCCCUUGUAUUUAUGUUUCCGUGUCUUUGACAUGGCCCACAUCUUCUGAUAUAUUGCUUCGUGUCUUCAAACAUUGUAGGCCAGUAGAAUCCACACUGCCAGAUCUUUGAAUGUGUACGAAAUGCUCCAUAGCGACCUCCAUAUGGUGAUGAAUGACAUCUGUCGAUGAUCUUCCAUCCUUCCUCAGUGGUCACACAUCUCCUGAGUAAGCCAUCAGAGCAUACUCGGAAGAGGUAUGGCUCAUCCCAAAUAUGUGAACGACUUUCUUGAAUAAGCUUCUUCUUGUUUGCUCCUGGUGGUACAUACCCUGAAACCAUAAAAUUAACAAUAUCUGCAUACCAGGGGUCAGACCUGUUAAUCCCGUAGAGCAUGUCGUCCCGGAGUGAAUCAUUGAUGGGGGUUUCCUGUGGACUCUUAAAAUACAUUCUAGACAAGUGAUCAGCAACAUAAUUUUCUACUCCCUUUUUAUCUUUUAUUUCUAAGUCAAAUUCUUGGAGUAAUAAGAUCCAUCUAAUCAGGCGAGGUUUAGCAUCUUUUUUAGUGAGAAAAUAUUUUAGUGCAGCAUGAUCAGUGUAAACAAUUAUUUUAGCUCCAACUAAAUAAGAUCUAAAUUUAUCAGUGGCAAAGACAACAGCCAGAAGCUCUUUUUCAGUGGUUGCAUAAUUAAGUUGAGCUCCUGUCAAAGUUUUACUGGCAUAAGCAAUUGCAUGAUGCUUCUUAUUUUUAGUUUGUUCUAAUACUGCCCCCAAAGCAUAAUCACUAGCAUCACACAUAAUUUCAAAAGGCAACGACCAAUCAGGGGGUUGAAUGAUUGGUGCAGAGAUGAGUGCUUUCUUUAAUAAAUUGAAAGAUGUUAGACAUGCAUCAUCAAAUUCGAAAGGAGCAUCCUUGGCUAGCAAAAGAGUAAGUGGUCUAGCAAUAAAUGAAAAAUCUUUUAUGAAUCUACGAUAAAAACCAGCAUGGCCAAGAAAGCUUCGAAUUCCUUUUAUGUUCACAGGUGGAGGUAGUUGUUUAAUUACUUCAAUUUUAGCUUUGUCUACCUCAAUACCUCUUUCAGACACUAGGUGUCCUAGCACUAUUCCUUCCCUAACCAUAAAAUGACAUUUUUCUCAAUUAAGGAUUAAGUGCUUUUCUUCACAUCUUUGCAAAACCUUGUCUAAGUUUUCAAGACAACUAUCAAAAGUUUUUCCAUAAACAGAGAAAUCAUCCAUGAAAACUUCCAUAAUCUCUUCAAUCAUAUCAGAAAAUAUAGACGUCAUGCAUCUUUGAAAAAAAGCUGGUGCAUUACAUAACCCAAAAGACAUUCUACGCUAAGCAUAAGUUCCAUAAGGGCAUGUAAAAGUGGUUUUGCUUUGAUCAUCAGGAUGGAUCGGGAUUUGGUGAUAUCCUGAAUAUCCAUCUAAGAAACAGAAGAACGAAUGGUUUGCUAACCGCUCUAGCAUCUCAUCUAUAAAAGGUAAGGGAAAGUGAUCUUUUCUCGUGGCUUUGUUUAGUUUUCUAUAGUCUAUGCACAUCCGCCAUCCUGUGACGGUGUGUUGCGGAAUUAGCUCAUUCAUUUCAUUCAUAAUAACAGUCAUGCCUCCCUUUUUAGGCACAACUUGAACUGGGCUUACCCACUCACUGUGCGGCACACGAUAUAUAGUCCCUGCAUGCAGCAACUUUAUAACUUCCUUUUUUACUACCUCUCUCAUAGUGUUGUUAAGUCUAUGUUGGGGUUCUCGAGAGGGUGAAACAGAAGGAUCUGUUGGAAUACGAUGGGUACAAAUCAUAGGACUGAUUCUUGUAAGAUCUUGGACUGAGUAGCCGAACACUGAGUGAUGUUUGUCACGAAUGGUCAUUAAUCGCAGAGUUUGAUCCUGAGUGAGUUUAUCACUAAUGAUUAUAGGGAACUCUGGAUUAUUGUUUAGGAAAGCAUAGGUAAGACCGGUGGUAAAGUUUUAAGCUCUAUGGGGGUCUAGGUGCUUCUGCAAACUCAUCUAAGGGUUCAGGCUCAGAAAGUUCGGUUUCUUCUUCAGUGAACAAAAGGAGUUUCGUCUUCUAAGUCUGAUUCAUCUAAAAGCUCUAGAGAUGCAGCCUUUACCUCCUCCAUAGGAUCAGGCAAAAGAUAUGAUUUGGCCUUAUUGUUUAAGGAGUGUGAAAUUGUUAUUGGGAUUUUAAAGGUUUUUCCAAAAGAAAUGUGUAGCUUUCCAGUAUGACCUUCAUAAAGGAGUCUUCUAAAACCUGUCCUAUCAACAGGUCGAAGUCCCAUGUAUCAAAGAUAUAGAAGUUCAAAUGAACCAUGGAGCCUUCUACCGUAAGAGGUAGGACAUUAAUAAUUCCAAGACUGGGGACUAAUCGUCCUGAAGAUUCCUUUAUGACCUUUGUUGUGGGGGUUAAGACAAGAUUUUUAAAUAGUUUAAGUGCAAAAGAUUCAGACAUGAUAUUUAUCCCCACAACAGGAUUAUAUAGAGCAUUAAAUCGAUCAGAAUUAUAAGCACAGUGUAUAGUUAUAGAGGGUGUGUCCAAACGGAUCACAUCAGAGGAAAGCUCUGAUUCCUCCAACCAUUCGCUACUCAUUACUGAGAUAAGCUCUCUCAAUUGAUGUUCACUUGGCAAAUAAAUGCUAAACUGGCCAUUUUGGGGUUUGUCAAUAGAAUGGUAGUUUGAAAUGUUUCCAAAAUCGGCAAAAAGAUCGGAUUCUAUAUCCAGCAUGAAGUCCGGUGGUGGAAUUUCUUCCUCUUGUGGCUCAGAACUUGGGAUAGCUAAAGUAGUUGAAGAAUUUGGCAGAGUGUCUACUUCGGCUUCGUAGGUUUCAUCAUGAAGGGUAUUAUCCAUCUCAGCUUCUAGGAUUCUAUCUAGGAUCACUCUAGCUUCAUCAGCAGGGAUGCGAAAGAAAGAACCUCUAGACAUUGUGUGUAGCAUUUGUUUGUGAUUUUUAUGAAGACCUCGAAAAAAGUGGAAUAAAAGAACAGAGUCUUCAAGAUUAAGGUUUGGACCAAAUUCUAAAAGAUCAGAAAAACGUUUCCAGGAUUUUCCCAAAGUUUCAUUAUCUUUUUGUUUAAAAGAUAGGACUUCGAGUCUAAGGUCGGCUAUACGGUCAAGGGAAUAGAAAUCUAGAUAAAAGUUGGCUCGUAAAACUCCCCAUUCACCUUGUUGUUGACUUACCUUCUGACUGUACCAUUGUCUAGCUUCUCCCCUUAAAGAAAAAGGAAAAAGCUUCCAACGUAAAGUUUUAUCAGAAAUGCCUUCAAUACGAAAAGAAUCACAUGUUUGCUCAAAAUCUCUACUAUGAAGGUAAGGGUUUUCAUCUUCCUUUCCCGAAAAAGAUAGGUUUUGAAUCAUGGCAAUCAACCUAGAACUUAACUUAUACUGGGAUGUUUGGAUAGGCUGUGAUGAUUCCCAUGGUAAAAGGUCAGUUACUGAAGGGAUUACAGAUUCAUGGAUCGAUUUAGAAUUUUGGUUUUCCAUAAGGUAAGGGUAAAGAAAAUAAAUAAAGAAUAUAAAAGAUAAGAAAAGAUAAAAGUAUAGAUACAAGCUAGUAGUAAGACUCAGGUUAUCUCAGCAACCGUCUUUCUCCCCGACAACGGCGCCAGAAAUGCUUGUUGAUAUUUGGGAACGCAAAAAGGAAUUGAUCCGCAAGCGCACGGAUAUCGGUGAGCACUUCACCUGGGAAAUUAUCCAGAGUAUCGUAUUUAUUUUUUUUACCACUAGGAGAAAGAGUGCAUCUGACUAACCGGUCUAUUACUACUAACCCUUUAGGCACAAAGAAUGUCUUUCGAUGUGAGUAAUAAAUAGAGAAGACUGCAACCGUAGUCUCCUUCUAACCUUGGUAAGGAUGAUCUACUGUUCUAAUGGGGAGGCUAACGGAAUCUAGACACCACAAAGGAUGUUCAACCCGCACCUAUAAACUCUAUCCUUCCUGCUAACGAGAUAUGGUCUGCAAAGGUAACUCGGAAUUGUCACGUUCCUCACUACUACCACGGUCCAGCUAGUCAGGGAAUAUCUAUGAGUACCCCAGCCUAAACACCACGUUUACGCCAGCAAUGAUUACUCUAAACUCUACAUGAAGAGAUUAAAGUAAGAUCAUAAACCAUAAGAACAAUAAAACAAGAACUUACUAGAAUUUAGAAGUCGAAAUACUGAAGAAUCCUAGGAGCAAGCUUCGGGUUAGGACAACUUGAUCCCGCAGGUACAAGCUUGGAGUAGACACCGACAGGCCGGGCUUCCUCCAAUCAACACCUCCACUCUAUCUCUCUCAAUCUAGUAGAAACUAGAAGAUCUAUUUCUACUUUACACUGGUUGCUAAGCCUAAAAAGAAAUAUUAAUUAGAGAAGAGGUUUUCCUUCGAGGGCACCCCUCAAUCUCUAUGAUAAUUUCUUCAUGUCUUCUCCAGGGGCCAGGGGGUCUCCUUAUAUAGUCCUCCUCCUUUUUGCGUUUUUGGGUCGGUAGGUGAGGUGGUACUAUGUUUUUCUUGAUCCAAUAGGUCGGUGGAAUAUCCCGUGCGAAGAGAGUCCUGAUUGACAUCCAGCAGGGGGCGGGCGCCCAGGUCUCCAGGGCGGGCGCCCUAGGCCUGGCUCCUUUCAGCCUCCGUCUUCUUCCCGUGGCUUCUGGAGUCUUCUUGAUGGUAGAAAAUCGCACGGUGCGUUGAUAUCUCUAUGUAAUCCCGACAUGUGGGCCUUUCUUCCUUAUUUCCUGAUAACCCCCUGCAGAAAUAGAUAAACAACAAAACUCGUGGAAUUCUGUCAGAUCAAACCCUAAUUCUAGGUGUUGGUUGCAUAUUGGUCCUUUCUCUUGUUUAUUUGAUAAUUAAAGUUGAUACUUAAGAACCGUCAACAACAAUCUGAUUUGUAUCCUUGAAAACGCUCCCAUGCUUCUGAAAUGGUUUCUAUCUUCUGCUGUUGGAAACUGACAAUAUUUCCUCUUAAGGCAGUUGUUUUGCCUAUAGGGAAAAACAUUGAAAGAAAGACAUCUGACAAGUUCGUCCAGUUGUUGAUGUUAUCUUGAUGAGUGUAGAACCACUUCCUCGCUUUUCCUUCUAGUGAGAAUGGAAAAAGGCGAAGCAGUAUGAUGUCUUUGUCAACUCCAUUGAUGUGGAUUGUGCUUUCAAUCUCUGAGAAAUUCUACAAGUGUGCACUAGCAUCUUCAUGUGCCUUUCCACUGAAUUGUGUAGCUUGCACCAAAUUGAUGAGGCUUGACUUGAGCUCGAACUCGGGUGCUCCUUCUUCUACUGAAAAUCUUGGACCAGUUGGAAUGUUCUCAAGGCUUGGAGCAGAGAAUUCUUGCAAGGUCUUUUGUGCCAUAGCUUCAGCAAUUGGUAGCUAGCUUCUUCUUUCUUUCUUGAUUGCUUUGGUUCAGAUGAUGAAGAGUUGAAUGUACCCAAAGUCAAUCCUGAUAUACCCUGUUGACACAGCUAACACCACUUAGAUACUAGGUUGUCAUCCCCAGCAUGGUGCCAGAGUGUACAAAGGUUUUUAUAAAUGUAAAGGCUCUCUAGAAAAUAAUCUAUUCUAUCCUCAAGCGCACAGAUAAAAUACCUCAUUGUAGCAUUUCAACAGGAUAAGAAUUCCAGGUAUCGUUAUUUAUAAUUUUGCUCGAGGGAUGAAAUUAAAAUAAGGGGGCAAAAUCUAUCAAGGCAUAGACUAGAGAUAAACUUGUAAGAACAUGAUUACUAAUGAGAAACUCGUCACACAGUCACUUACUUUAGCAGGGGGUAAACCAUAAAGAUAAUGAUAAUAAAGUAUAAGUUCAUGGGUAGAUAACACAACGAUUAGAAAAUAGACUACUCCUCAUAUAUAUAGGUGAUGUCGGAUUAGCUAGAGAAUGGAUUCUAAGUUAUCUACUAACUACUAAGUCAUAAUCAACUCUAGUUAUCUACAAGAUCAUAUAUGGCAUAAAAGACUCUUCAUUCAUGUAUAAGGAACAUUGAUAAAGUAAAUCAGAGCAUCGCAUGACUUACUCCACAAUACCAGUUCUGCCUGUCCUAUCAACGGAGGAUAGACUAUAUAAGAAUCAAUGAAGCUGUCACUAUCGCGAACUACCACACGACCCGGCCAAUAGGAUGCAUUUGCAGAUAAAUAACAUCUAAGCACCACGCUCACAUGUGAUCUAUCACCUAACUCCCUCGCGUCAAGAGCUAAGCGCUUUGCAAACUUAUACAUAAACUCAUUAUCAAUUAGAACUAUAUCAAAUAUAGAACUAGAACAAACUAAGAACAUAAUAAUUAGAGACAUAAUGCAAUUAGAACAAAGAAUUAGAGAAAGAUAUGAAUAAUACCAAUCUUUAUUACCGAAGAUCCGAAUCUAGAGCGUAGUGCUCUACUUCUCUAUUUGCUAUCUAAUCAAACCUCUAAACUUGAAGGAUUAGGGAGUAGCUAAUUCUAUUUCUCUGUGGGAGAGAAGCUCUAAACCCUAACUUUGAUGGCUACCUCUGAAUAAUGAUUUCUUCUCUUCUCCUCCCUCCAGGGGGGGUUUGGCCUUGGUUAUAUAGUCCCCUCAAGUGAACGUGAGACAUUGGAUCAAACCGACAUAGAUUGUAUGGUUUAGAUUGAUCCUUUAGGUCGGUGGAGCGUAGUCCCGAAGCAGAGUCCCGAUUGGGUUCCAACCCUGGGCGGGUGCCCAAGGGGGGUGGGCGGCCGCCCUGCCCCCGAGCCUGAUCGUGCUCUCGUUCGUUCCCAUGGCUUCUGGACCCUUCUAGAUUGAGGAAAAUUGCGCGGCACGUAAUUAUGUCGUUGUAAACAUGACAUGUGGGCCUUCUCUCCAUAUUCUCUGAUAACCCCCUGCAGAAAUAGAUAAACACCAAAGCUCGUGGAAUUCUGUCAGAUAAAACCCUAAUUCUACAUGUUUGUUUCAUAUUGAUCCUUUUUCAUGUUUAUUUGAUUAUUAAUUUUAGUACUUAAGGACCGUCAACAAACUCCCCCAAGCUUACCCUUUGCUCAUCCCUCAGCAACUAGCUAAACUCAGACGGAUCAGGAGUUGCUUUGAUGUUUUCUUUCCUGACAGGCACACAUGCUUUUACAUAAAAUUCUUCCAGAUUAGAGUGAAGUGUUAUGGAGUUUAGUACCUGCACUUAAAUCUUAAGUAAUUGAAAGACAAAAUAGUUAAGUCAAGCACUAUUCCUCCUGUCUAUACUUCACCUUUGUUCCAGAGAUUUUCAUAAGUUUUCAAAAUAAAACUCAGAGUUCCCAGCAAUGAUUCUCUCAAGUCUCUCUAUAUGUGGUAUUUGUGGAUCCUUACCAUAAUGUCACUUACCUAUGGCUAAUGGAAUAUUUAAGUGGAGCUUAUAGGAGUGAAAAAACAGCUUAUACAUAUGUUGUCUAAUCGAGCUAUGGAUCCAAAAGGAUCUCAGCAUAUAAUUAAAUCAAGAUGUGCAUGUGUGGUGGAGUAAAUGAUAGUGAUGAUAAAAAAUGUAUAGGUGCUAAUGAAACUUACUUCUCAUUUCUCCUCAUAUUGCUAUCUCUCCUCUUCUUUGAUCUUUGCUUUGGGAGAACAUGGGCUAUCUUUUUUUUCAGGUGGGUAGUAGAUACCCCUAAUUCUACUGUCGGACACUUGUCCAUUUUUUCGGCUCAAGUGGGCAUCUUUGUACCCCUAAUUCUACUUCGGACACUUGUCAAUUUUUUCCUCUCGUCUCACUGUUUUUCUUUCUUUUUCGAGGUUUCAGGCACUUGCCCCUUUUUAUUUCCUCGCAUAUUUUUGCAUAACCCAUGCCUCUUCUGCAUUGAAUCUUUUUAGAGAGAGAGAAUAACAAUAUUCGGGACAGUGAGUGAUAAUAUUUUUAGCAAUUUUAAUGAUGGGUGAUGGAUGGUGUAGUAGAUGUGUGCAAGUGAAUAUCUUAAUUUAACCAUAUGAAAAGCUCCUAAGGGUCAACACAGCUCGAUCAAACUCAAUGUAAAUAUAGUAAAAGAUGUUAUAGCAAGUAUGGAUGUGGUAGGUAGUUUUGUAUGCUAGGAACUCAUCAUGUGAUUUGCAAGUUUCCAAAAUAAAUCUCCAGAACUUAGUGUAGUAGGAACAAGAUAAACAGUAGCUCAACUUUAUAUCAUGCCUUUCGCUUACCUAGACUUUAAUUUUAUGCUUCCCAAAGAUGGUAAUUUUAGUUUUAGUAAUUCCUGGAAGAACUCUAAUAUAAAAGCUAAGUACUUAAAAGUAAGCAAACAGAGCAACUGUUCAUUAUUUCCAUCAUGCAUCUUUUUGAUCUUUUUGUUUUUUUCUAGAGAUUUUCACUUAACAGAUAAAAUAAAGCACACUUAUCUACACACUCUUUUUAUUUUGUUUUCAUGUUUAUAAAUUGCAGUAAAUUAAAGCAAGAAAAUAUUUAUUUGGUUUUCUAAGUUUUUUCUCCUUAAGAUAAAAUAGAAAAGAAUAAAUAAGAAGAGCAAAUAGAAACUUACUUGAUAAAUUGGGGAGGAACUCCCCCAAGCUGGAUGUUGACGUCGGUCUUACCCGAUGUUCCAGAACCGCAUCAUAGUUGUGAUGUUGUCAUUCAUUGUUGUUGUAUCUUGUCUCAGCUCUUGUACUGCAGCAGCAUGGUCCUGGUUCCAUUUUUGUUGUUCUUCUAGGAGUCUUCCAUGUUCUGCUUGCGUGUUCUGGAUGUCGAGGAGAGUGUUGUCGGUACGAGUGAAGAAAGCACCAACCUCUUGAUAGUAGUCAUUUGUGAAAGCGUAGGAGGCGUCGGAGUAUCGUCCUGCAUCAAAUUGGGGCGGAGGUCUGGAUCCUGAAGCUCCAUAUGGAUCAGUGGAGUACCUGCCCGUAUGAAAAGGUGGGUCUGUCCACUGGUGAUCUUGGCUCUCCGGCCAUGUCUCCUCUGUUGGCUCUUGUGGUUGUGCAUGACGAACCCAUGGGUCUCGAAGGACUCGAGGGUUGUAAUCGCAAUAAUGCAGGUGCGCUGCUUCUUCUGGUCUAGGGUCAGCUCCAUACCAGGUGCGUUCUUGAUGGGUGGUCAUCCUUUCAGAUGCCACUCGCUGUGGAGCUCUCUGGUUCACUGGUGUUGCUGCAAUCUCAAUCAAAAAAUUUUGAACAACGUAUAGGCCAAGGUUCGGGUUAGGUAACCGAAUCUUGCCUCCAUCAUCAUAUAGCAUAUAUAUUAUAUUCCCCUCUUUCUUUAACAUCCGAGCCUGUCUAAAUGUGUCAUAGCCAUGAUAAAUUCUUAAUCAUCUAUGAAGUCCAACGAUGAGUUUUCUAGUAAAUGAAGGUUAGGGCUAGACGAGUGAUAAGUGAAGUACAUCCUACUGGUCCCUGAAGACUAGGUAUACUAAGCCAAUGAGAAACUCAUAGUGUAACUGGUGAAGUGGGUACCUUACUAAUAGCAGCAUAUAAAAGUUGUAAAUCUCCUACUCUUACUUUCCUAAUAUCAUCACGAUAGAAAAGAUUGUACCCAAGCCAUUUGUGGAACAUCCUAAGAGUGGGGUGUGUUGACGGUCCUUAAUGCUCACAUUUAACCAUCAACUAAUCAUGGAAAAGGAUCCAAAUGCAACCAACACCUAGACUUAGGGUUUUAUCUGACAGAAUUCCACGAGUUUUGGUGUUUGUGUAUUUCUGCAGGGGGUUAUCAGGAAAUACGGAAGAAAGGCCCACACGUCACGUUUACAUAGAGAUAUUAACGUGCCGCGCAAUUUUCUAUCAUCUAGAAGACUCUAGAAGCCAUGGGAACAAAGCGAAAGCCAAGAGGCCUCAGGGACAGGGCGCCCGCCCUAGUCCUCAGGGCGCCCGCCCACCUUUCCACCAAACAGAGUCCAAUUCGGGGACAACGCUCCACCGACCUAAAGGAUCAAGGAAAACCGUGCGAUCAAUGUCGGUUUGAUCCGACGGCCCAGAUUCACUUGAAGGGACUAUAAACUAGACCCCCUGGCCCCUGGAGAUCAUACCUCUUCUACAGAAUCAAAGUUAGGGUUUCAAUUCUUCAUCCAAGUAGAGAGGAUCCCUCUAGUUCUUCUAGUUCUACCUCGAGUUCAUCUAGAUCUAGUUCUAGUUCAUCUAGUUCUAGUUCUAGUUCCUCUAGUUCUAGUUCUGGUUAGUUCUAGUUGUAAUUUAGAAAAUAGGGAG